RNAcentral lists this ribosomal RNA (239 nucleotides) under Klebsiella pneumoniae. RNAcentral's name for it is "partial 23S ribosomal RNA". It matches the Rfam family "Bacterial large subunit ribosomal RNA", at positions 2704 to 2925 of the family's 2925-position model. Lineage: Bacteria; Pseudomonadati; Pseudomonadota; Gammaproteobacteria; Enterobacterales; Enterobacteriaceae. The record is from RNAcentral.
CAUCACUGGUGUUCGGGUUGUCAUGCCAAUGGCACUGCCCGGUAGCUAAAUGCGGAAGAGAUAAGUGCUGAAAGCAUCUAAGCACGAAACUUGCCCCGAGAUGAGUUCUCCCUGAGACUAUAAGUCUCCUGAAGGAACGUUAAAGACGAUGACGUUGAUAGGCCGGGUGUGUAAGCGCAGCGAUGCGUUGAGCUAACCGGUACUAAUGAACCGUGAGGCUUAACCUUACAACGCCGAAG